This 2162-nucleotide long non-coding RNA is filed under the name Salmo salar (Atlantic salmon). Its description in RNAcentral is "lncRNA (ENSSSAG00000116728.1)". Lineage: Eukaryota; Metazoa; Chordata; Actinopteri; Salmoniformes; Salmonidae. The record is from RNAcentral.
GCAUAAUAAGCAUCAUCAACAGGGGUAACUUAUUAGGUGUAUGCUAAUAAGCUGUAGAAAGAAUAUAUCAAUUUGUAAGACUUGUUCAUAAAAUAAAGAAUUGUUCAUAAAAAGGGCCUGAGAUCAAAGUCAAUAUUCAGACCACUAGGGGUCAAUGUUUUUAGACAGGAUAUCCAGUAAGCCUCCCUUUGUAGUAGUAGGAUCUCGAUGUUACCUCCUCUCCUUGGUAGAGCAACAUGCUCAAUGCCUGUGUAUUUGAGGGAGGAAUUGGAUGGUUAGCUUCAACAAAGUUAGCUGCUACUGGAUAGUCAAUGUUCUUACACCUGAUUGAGCUGCGGUGUUCAGCUAUGUGUUGUUUUAAUUGUCUUACGUUUGUCCUGCGUAGGCUUUUCCACAUGAACAGGUGAUCAGAUAGAUUACUCCCUUGGUCUUGCAUGAGAUGAUACCCCUAACAGGAAAUUUUCGAACUGUAUGUUGGUGUCUGAAGAAGGAUGUUUUUAUAGUGCAAUUGCACUGUGCGCAUGAACCCCAUUUGUAGUUCCCAUUUGUAAUGGGUGUCAAGAGUGUCUGAGUCGGCUCAGCCCGGUCAAUUCCUGCCAGUCUGCACAGCGAUAUCAACCCAGAGCAUAUCGGACUGCUUUUUCUCUACCACAUCUCCGGAUUCCUACCUCAAGCUCUGAACCUUUACUCCGGAUCAUCGCAGCUAGCUAGCUGCUAUCCGAGUGGCUACUCCUGGCUAACGUCUCUGUCCCAAAGCAAGCACCAGUUAGCCUGGAGAUAGCCUCGAGCUAGGCCCAUCUCCAGGCUAGGCAAAGAGAUCCAUCAGACAAUUCUUAGGUUUCAAUACCUCUUUUGCCAAUUGGCCUGGACCCUUUGCUGCCGACACGGAGCCCCGCCAAUCCAUCACGACUGGUCUGCCGACGUAACCGUCCGAGGUGUUUUCAACAGGCUCUUCCGUUGCGACAUCCCCCUGAGGCCCAUAUGCUAACCUGCUAGCUGUCUGAAUCGCCGUGUCUCCAGCUCGCCUAGCUACUCACUGGACCCUAUGAUCACUCGGCUACACAUGCCUCUCCCUAAUGUCAAUAUGCCUUGUCUACGGCUGUUUUGGUUUGUGAUUUUUGUCUCGUUUCACUGUCGAGCCUCCAGCCCUGCUCAAUUGUUUUAUUUAUUUUUAUUUCACCUUUAUUUAACCAGGUCGCAGUUGUAAAUGAGAAUUUGUUCUCAGCUGGCCUACCUGGUUAAAUAAUUACAGCGAUUACAGCUGUGAAUCUUAUUGGUGAAGUGUUUAAGAGCUUUGCACACCUGGAUUGUACAAUAUUUGCCCACUAUUCUUUAAAAAAAUCCUCAAGCUCUGUCAAGUUGAUUUCUUAUCAUUGCUAGACAGUUAUUUUGAAGUCUUGCCAUAGAUUUUCAUGCCGAUUUAAGUCAAAACUGUAACUAGGCCACUUGGGAUCAUUCAGUGUUGUCUUGGUAAGCAACUCCAGUGUAGAUUUGGCCUUGUGGUUUAGGUUAUUGUCCUUCUGAAAGUUGAAUUUGUCUCCCAGAGUCUGUUGGAAAGCAGACUGAACCAGAUUUUUCUCUAGGAUUUUGCCUGUGCUUAUAGCUGUAUUCCAUUUAUUUUUAUCCUAAAAAUCUCCCUAGUCCUCACCGAUGGCAAGCAUACAAAUAACAUGAUGCAGCCACAACCAUGCUUGAAAAUAUGAAGAGUGGUACUCAGUGAUGUGUUGUGUUGGAUUUGCCUCCAAGCAUGACAAAUACAUUUCUUUGCCACACUUUUUGCAGUAUUGCUUAAAUCCCGUGUUGCAAACAGGGUGCAUGUUCUGGAAUAUUUGUAUGCUAUACAGGCUGUAUCUUUGUAGUGACUGUGUGUAAUGAUACACCAUCCAAAGCCUAAUUAAUAACUUCAACAUUUUCCAAGGAAUAUUCAGCAUCUGCUAUUAAAAUGUUUACACAUCUACCAAUCAAAGCAUUGAAAAACCUCCCUGGUCUUUGUGGUUGAAUCUGUGCUUGAAAUUUGGUUGAGUGACUUUACAGAUAAUUGUUUGUGUGGGGUAAAGAGAUGGGGUAGUCAUCCAAAAAUCUGGAUAAACACUAUUAUUGAACACAGAAUGAGUCCAUGCAACUUAUUUUGUGAUUUGUUAAGCACAACUUAUUUAGGCUUG